UACGGAGGAUCCGAGCGUUAUCCGGAAUCAUUGGGUUUAAAGGGUCCGUAGGCGGAUAGUUAAGUCAGCGGUGAAAGUCUGCAGCUCAACUGUAGAAUUGCCGUUGAUACUGGUUAUCUUGAAUCAAAUUGAAGUGGCUGGAAUAUGUGGUGUAGCGGUGAAAUGCAUAGAUAUCACGAGGAACUCCGAUUGCGCAGGCAGCUUACUAAACUACUACUGACGCUCAGGCACGAAGUCGUGGGGAUCAAACAGGA
Molecule: ribosomal RNA, 254 nt
Filed under: uncultured prokaryote
Description: partial 16S ribosomal RNA
Rfam family: Bacterial small subunit ribosomal RNA
Source: RNAcentral